RNAcentral lists this ribosomal RNA (743 nucleotides) under uncultured bacterium. RNAcentral's name for it is "bacterial SSU rRNA". It matches the Rfam family "Bacterial small subunit ribosomal RNA", at positions 94 to 823 of the family's 1533-position model. The record is from RNAcentral.
AGCGGCGGAUGGGUGAGUAACACGUGGGGAACCUGCCCCUAAGUCUGGGAUACCAUUUGGAAACAGGUGCUAAUACCGGAUAAUAAAGCAGAUCGCAUGAUCAGCUUUUGAAAGGCGGCGUAAGCUGUCGCUAAGGGAUGGCCCCGCGGUGCAUUAGCUAGUUGGUAAGGUAACGGCUUACCAAGGCGACGAUGCAUAGCCGAGUUGAGAGACUGAUCGGCCACAUUGGGACUGAGACACGGCCCAAACUCCUACGGGAGGCAGCAGUAGGGAAUCUUCCACAAUGGACGCAAGUCUGAUGGAGCAACGCCGCGUGAGUGAAGAAGGUUUUCGGAUCGUAAAGCUCUGUUGUUGGUGAAGAAGGAUAGAGGUAGUAACUGGCCUUUAUUUGACGGUAAUCAACCAGAAAGUCACGGCUAACAACGUGCCAGCAGCCGCGGUAAUACGUAGGUGGCAAGCGUUGUCCGGAUUUAUUGGGCGUAAAGCGAGCGCAGGCGGAAAAAUAAGUCUAAUGUGAAAGCCCUCGGCUUAACCGAGGAACUGCAUCGGAAACUGUUUUUCUUGAGUGCAGAAGAGGAGAGUGGAACUCCAUGUGUAGCGGUGGAAUGCGUAGAUAUAUGGAAGAACACCAGUGGCGAAGGCGGCUCUCUGGUCUGCAACUGACGCUGAGGCUCGAAAGCAUGGGUAGCGAACAGGAUUAGAUACCCUGGUAGUCCAUGCCGUAAACGAUGAGUGCUAAGUGU